GACCAGUCCGUCCACAGCCGCACGCCAGAGCGGUCCCCUAGCAUCGGAAUCCUUCGCAAUUGGCAAAGCGUCUGCAAAGCACUGCUUUGCGUGCUCCCUAUGAGGAGUAGGGUGGUGCUGCCGACCUGCCUCCUCGCUCUUCUCUGCCUCUUCGCCGAUGCAGCGAAGAAGAAGGGGGUCACGAUGGUGGUGCGCAUGCUGGACGGGCACGCGUGCAACUUGGGGAACAACGCUCUGACCUGGUCUAAAGUCUGGUUCACCCCCAGGGGAAUGUCGCGCCUUGGCAACGCAGACUUUGGGCUCUCGAGGACGGCCAAGACCAUA
Molecule: long non-coding RNA, 324 nt
Organism: Frankliniella occidentalis (western flower thrips)
Lineage: Eukaryota; Metazoa; Arthropoda; Insecta; Thysanoptera; Thripidae
Exons: 3
Source: RefSeq, a predicted model, not a curated record